GACGAACGCUGGCGGCGUGCCUAAUACAUGCAAGUAGAACGCUGAAGAGAGGAGCUUGCUCUUCUUGGAUGAGUUGCGAACGGGUGAGUAACGCGUAGGUAACCUGCCUUGUAGCGGGGGAUAACUAUUGGAAACGAUAGCUAAUACCGCAUAACAAUGGAUGACACAUGUCAUUUAUUUGAAAGGGGCAAUUGCUCCACUGCAAGAUGGACCUGCGUUGUAUUAGCUAGUAGGUGAGGUAACGGCUCACCUAGGCGACGAUACAUAGCCGACCUGAGAGGGUGAUCGGCCACACUGGGACUGAGACACGGCCCAGACUCCUACGGGAGGCAGCAGUAGGGAAUCUUCGGCAAUGGGGGCAACCCUGACCGAGCAACGCCGCGUGAGUGAAGAAGGUUUUCGGAUCGUAAAGCUCUGUUGUAAGUCAAGAACGAGUGUGAGAGUGGAAAGUUCACACUGUGACGGUAGCUUACCAGAAAGGGACGGCUAACUACGUG
RNAcentral lists this ribosomal RNA (497 nucleotides) under uncultured bacterium. RNAcentral's name for it is "partial 16S ribosomal RNA". It matches the Rfam family "Bacterial small subunit ribosomal RNA", at positions 28 to 507 of the family's 1533-position model. The record is from RNAcentral.